CUUGUGGGUGUGGUUUUGGCC
This 21-nucleotide non-coding RNA is filed under the name Arabidopsis thaliana (thale cress). The record is from RNAcentral. Lineage: Eukaryota; Viridiplantae; Streptophyta; Magnoliopsida; Brassicales; Brassicaceae.